RNAcentral lists this ribosomal RNA (278 nucleotides) under uncultured Streptococcus sp. RNAcentral describes it as "partial 16S ribosomal RNA". It matches the Rfam family "Bacterial small subunit ribosomal RNA", at positions 1103 to 1382 of the family's 1533-position model. Lineage: Bacteria; Bacillati; Bacillota; Bacilli; Lactobacillales; Streptococcaceae. The record is from RNAcentral.
CCCCUAUGUUAGUUGCCAUCAUUCAGUUGGGCACUCUAGCGAGACUGCCGGUAAUAAACCGGAGGAAGGUGGGGAUGACGUCAAAUCAUCAUGCCCCUUAUGACCUGGGCUACACACGUGCUACAAUGGUUGGUACAACGAGUUGCGAGUCGGUGACGGCGAGCUAAUCUCUUAAAGCCAAUCUCAGUUCGGAUUGUAGGCUGCAACCCGCCUACAUGAAGUCGGAAUCGCUAGUAAUCGCGGAUCAGCACGUCGCGGUGAAUACGUUCCCGGGCCUU